RNAcentral lists this long non-coding RNA (484 nucleotides) under Monodelphis domestica (gray short-tailed opossum). Its description in RNAcentral is "lncRNA (ENSMODG00000032594.2)". Lineage: Eukaryota; Metazoa; Chordata; Mammalia; Didelphimorphia; Didelphidae. The record is from RNAcentral.
GGAGAGUGACAGGAAGUGACAUUGAGAAAACUGCUUUGAAAAGGCCAGCUCGAGGAUUCAGUCUCUGACUCUGCCUCAGUGAGCCAGACUGGAGGAGGAGACUCUUUCCUUGGAUCCUGUGGUGGUGAGUGGAGUUAUUCCUUCCUUGGUUCUUCGGUGAGAAGACCCUCUCUGAUCGUUGGCACUUCAGUGGGACACUCCCUUCAGCAUGAGUUCUGGUGAGAUUCUUGGCGGUCUUAGCCUCCUGUGCACUGAAGGUUCUUGGUGCAUUCUUCAGCAUCUGCUGGUUCUUCUGGACUUCAGCUUCCUAAUUAGGACUUUGGAUUCUGUCCUAGGACCCUGCUUGGUACUCAUACUGCCAGAAUAUAUUCAGUGGCCUGAAACUCUACUUGACCUCCUAGUAUGUGGACUGCAAGAAGCAAACCCAGUGCUCACAGAUCUUGCUCUGCCAAGGCUCUGUCAAGUCUUGGUUCUGGUUGUGUGA